This 383-nucleotide transfer-messenger RNA is filed under the name Candidatus Omnitrophota. Its description in RNAcentral is "JAFGHF01 sp016939375 Standard tmRNA". It matches the Rfam family "transfer-messenger RNA". From Rfam's summary of the family: Bacterial tmRNA, also known as 10Sa RNA or SsrA, is named for its dual tRNA and mRNA-like properties. Its role is to liberate the mRNA from a stalled ribosome. To accomplish this part of the tmRNA is used as a reading frame that ends in a translation stop signal. Lineage: Bacteria; Pseudomonadati. The record is from RNAcentral. RNAcentral also lists the same sequence under 1 other name.
GGGGGUGACAGGCUUCGAUCUGGGUUUGUCGUGGUAGAAGUGGCAUGUGGAGGUUUCAGGUGGCCUCCUUAAAAACCUGAACAUUUACAGACGCCAACUACAAUCCAGUAGCAGAGGCCGAGGCUAUCUUGGCUUCUGAGGCAGUCGUUGCCUAACUAAAGGCAACAAAUCCUUUUGCCUUGCCUGCGGGGUGAAAGGAUUUCGUAAGCAGGAUAGUCCCGAUUUUUUGCUUUUGAGAAUCGGGACGAAAGCAAAAAAAGCUUUUCUUUCUCAAAUCCCGUUUACCGGAGUUGAAAAAGAGAACUUAAGAAGGUAAAAUAAACAUGUAGAGGCUUUUGUUGCGAAAUCCAGGGACGUGGGUUCGAAUCCCACCACCUCCACCA